UUUGACCCUCCAUAUGUAAAAUUAACUUUCGCAGGCUUCCUGGUCAUUAAAUAGUAAAAUAUAACAUUUUUGCACAUUUUUAACUUUAAUGCAAUUUAUGAAAAUAAUUUCCUUUUGAAUUUCAUGCUUUUUGAUGUCCGAUUCGUGGUUUCAGAUUUAUUUUGGUAUUUUGAUGCGAGCAAGUUCGUAUGAUAUUUUUAGAUUUGUGUGGAUGUUUGGUAUGGAGGCCCGAGGACUCGGGUGAGUUUUUGACAUAUUUCGGAAUUGUUUGAAUUCAUUUCAAGUUGUUGGUGUGCUUGUGCUCCAGUUAUCGCAAUUGCGAGCACCAACAUCGCAUUUGCGAUCAUGGCAGAGGGGUAUCUGGUAUCGCAUUUGCGUCACCAUGAUCACGUUUGCAAAAGCCAACUUGGGCUGGGUAAGGUCGCAUUUGCGGAAGGGGCUAACUUUGCAUUUGCGAGGUCUGUGUCGCAAUUGCGACAUUUCCCUAGGCUGUCAGGCGCCUCAAUUGUGAGUCGUUGUCCGCAUUUGCCAGUGUUCGCUAUUGCGAACCCAGAGUCGCAAUUAUUGUUAACACUUAAUUUGACCCUCCAUAUGUAAAAUUAACUUUCGCAGGCUUCCUGGUCAUUAAAUAGUAAAAUAUAACAUUUUUGCACAUUUUUAACUUUAAUGCAAUUUAUGAUAAUAAUUUCCUUUUGAAUUUCAUGCUUUUUUAGUCCGAUUCGUGGUUUCAGAUUUAUUUUGGUAUUUUGAUGCGAGCAAGUUCUUAUGAUAUUCUUAGAUUUGUGUGGAUGUUUGGUAUGGAGGCCCGAGGACUCGGGUGAGUUUCUGACGUAUUUCGGAUUGGUUUGAAUUCAUUUCAAGUUAUUUGUGUGUUGGUGCUCCAGUUAUCGCAAUUGCGAGCACCAGCAUCGCAAUUGCGAUCAUGGCAGAGGGGUGACUGGUAUCGCAUUUGCGUCACCAUGAUCACGAUUGCGAAAGCAAACUUGGACUGGGUAAGGUCGCAUUUGCGGAAGUGGUUAACUUCGCAUUUGCGAGGUCUGUGUCGCAAUUGCGACAUUCCCCUAGGCUGUCAGGCGCCUCAAUUGUGAGUCGUUGUCCGCAUUUGCGAGUGUUCGCAAUUGCGAAACCAGAGUCGCAAUUAUUGUUGACACUUAAUUUGACCCUCCGUAUGUAAAAUUAACUUUCGCAGACUUCCUGUUCAUUAAAUAGUAAAAUAUAACAUUUUUGCACAUUUUUAACUUUAAUGCAAUUUAUGAUAAUAGUUUCCUUUUGAAUUUUAUGCUUUUUGAUGUCCGCUUCGUGGUUUCACAUUUAUUUUGGUAUUUUAAUGCGAGCAAGUUCGUAUGAUAUUUUUAGACUUGUGUGGAUGUUUGGUAUGGAACCCCGAGGGCUCGGGUGAGUUUCUGACGUAUUUCGGAUUAAUUUGAAUUC
This 1431-nucleotide long non-coding RNA is filed under the name Nicotiana tabacum (common tobacco). RNAcentral's name for it is "long non-coding RNA (NTAB_LNC002555)". The record is from RNAcentral. Lineage: Eukaryota; Viridiplantae; Streptophyta; Magnoliopsida; Solanales; Solanaceae.